This 468-nucleotide ribosomal RNA is filed under the name uncultured bacterium. Its description in RNAcentral is "partial 16S ribosomal RNA". It matches the Rfam family "Bacterial small subunit ribosomal RNA", at positions 28 to 507 of the family's 1533-position model. The record is from RNAcentral.
GACGAACGCUGGCGGCGUGCUUAACACAUGCAAGUCGAACGGAAAGGCCCUGCUUUUGUGGGGUGCUCGAGUGGCGAACGGGUGAGUAACACGUGAGUAACCUGCCCUUGACUUUGGGAUAACUUCAGGAAACUGGGGCUAAUACCGGAUAGGAGCUCCUGCUGCAUGGUGGGGGUUGGAAAGUUUCGGCGGUUGGGGAUGGACUCGCGGCUUAUCAGCUUGUUGGGGGGGUAGUGGCUUACCAAGGCUUUGACGGGUAGCCGGCCUGAGAGGGUGACCGGCCACAUGGGGACUGAGAGACGGCCCAGACUCCUACGGGAGGCAGCAGUGGGGAAUAUUGCACAAUGGGCGGAAGCCUGAUGCAGCAACGCCGCGUGCGGGAUGACGGCCUUCGGGUUGUAAACCGCUUUCGCCUGUGACGAAGCGUGAGUGACGGUAAUGGGUAAAGAAGCACCGGCUAACUACGUG